AAGCGGUAAAAGCUCAAAUUUGAAAUCUGGUACUUUCAGUGCCCGAGUUGUAAUUUGUAGAAUUUGUCUUNGAUUAGGUCCUGUCUAUGUUCCUUGGAACAGGACGUCAUAGAGGGUGAGAAUCCCGUUUGGCGAGGAUACCUUUUCUCUGUAAGACUUUUUCGAAGAGUCGAGUUGUUUGGGAAUGCAGCUCAANAGUGGGUGGUAAAUUCCAUCUAAAGCUAAAUAUUGGCGAGAGACCGAUAGCGAACAAGUACAGUGAUGGANAAGAUGAAAAGAACUUUGNAAAAGAGAGUGAAAAAGUACGUGAAAUUGUUGAAAGGGAAGGGCAUUUGAUCAGACAUGGUGUUUUUUGCAUGCACUCGCCUCUCGUGGGCUUGGGCCUCUCAAAAAUUUCACUGGGCCAACAUCAAUUCUGGCAGCAGGAUAAAUCAUUAAGAAUGUAGCUACUUCGGUAGUGUUAUAGCUUUUUGGAAUACUGUUAGCCGGGAUUGAGGACUGCGCUUCGGCAAGGAUGUUGGCAUAAU
RNAcentral lists this ribosomal RNA (527 nucleotides) under Hanseniaspora uvarum. RNAcentral's name for it is "eukaryotic LSU rRNA". It matches the Rfam family "Eukaryotic large subunit ribosomal RNA", at positions 96 to 635 of the family's 3401-position model. Lineage: Eukaryota; Fungi; Ascomycota; Saccharomycetes; Saccharomycodales; Saccharomycodaceae. The record is from RNAcentral.